CACCAGCAUUAAGAUCAACAAUAUGAACCAUCUUUUCACCUUCCAUAGCUUCAAUUAUAGCUUGAUUUGUAACCACAAAAGCAACCUUCAAAAACGGAAAGAACUCGAAAAACAUCUUCUUAACUAAAAUAUCUUCUGAGACAACCGAUAACUUAGUCGAACGCAAUGCCUUAUAAAUACCAGGCCAACUUCUAAGAAUCCUGUCAGCUAAUGCCUCAGUAAAAUAUGAAGCAAUUCUUUGCAUAGUAUCUCCAUUAGGAGAAGCAAGUUGAGAAAUAAAAAAGGAAAGAACUGGAAAAACAUCUUCCUAACUAGAAUAUCUUCUGAGAAAACCGAUAACUUAGUCGAACGCAAUGCCUUACAAAUACCAGACCAACUUCUAAGAAUCCUAUCAG
RNAcentral lists this long non-coding RNA (395 nucleotides) under Nicotiana benthamiana. RNAcentral describes it as "long non-coding RNA (NBEN_LNC029327)". Lineage: Eukaryota; Viridiplantae; Streptophyta; Magnoliopsida; Solanales; Solanaceae. The record is from RNAcentral.